RNAcentral lists this unclassified non-coding RNA (208 nucleotides) under Hevea brasiliensis (rubber tree). The record is from RNAcentral. Lineage: Eukaryota; Viridiplantae; Streptophyta; Magnoliopsida; Malpighiales; Euphorbiaceae.
AGCAAAGAGGUGCUUUUAAGCUUCCUACUCUCCUGAAGGUUGCAAUUGAUGUUUCUAAGGGAAUGAGUUAUCUGCACCAAAAUAACAUAAUUCAUCGUGAUCUGAAGACUGCCAAUCUUCUGAUGGAUGAACAUGGAGUUGUUAAGGUUGGUGACUUUGGGGUUGCUAGAGUGCAGACUCAAACUGGGGUGAUGACAGCUGAAACUGG